AGAAAUAUGUCAUGAAGCUGUUAUCAAUAGUCCUGGCUCAAACCAAGAUAGCAUGAGAGUCUCAAGGCUGUGGGCUCCCUGGCUAGGUUCUCAAUAAAGAUUGCCUCUACAGGCCUCAGUGGCAACCCCGUCAGGACCCCUCUCACUCCUGAGAGCUUUCUCUGUGCCUUUUCUUAAUAAACUUCUAUCUCUUCACUCACUCUCUGUUGUGCUCCACAUUCGUUCUUCUGUUCCAUGAGACAAGAACCAAGCUCUCCUGUAUCACCUCUGUUUGGCGAUUUGCAAAAACAAUCUUACGCUAUAAAACGAGAAAAGAGCUCGCUGUGUUCCUUCCUCUUGAGGACAUUUUAUUUCCUGAAGUAGAAAGAACAUUUCAACUAACACAGAGCUUGGUAUUGAGCUGUACUUUUUGGAGGAUGUCAAUCAUAAAGGAAAAGUCUUUGCUUCCAGUUGCUGUGACUAGAAGCAUGCUUGCUGAGGAACCUCCAGCCUUGGACUAA
RNAcentral lists this long non-coding RNA (500 nucleotides) under Vulpes vulpes (red fox). RNAcentral describes it as "lncRNA (ENSVVUG00000011049.1)". Lineage: Eukaryota; Metazoa; Chordata; Mammalia; Carnivora; Canidae. The record is from RNAcentral.